UAUGAUGUAGGGGAAGAGCUUAAGGAUAUUGAUACUGCUGGCAAGAUAUAAAGAUAAAGGCCUAACGGCUAGUGAACUUGAAGAUUUGGUUCUGCUAGUUGGGUACCAGCUUAUAUAUGCGGGACAGUUACACGGCUUUAGCCUCCCUUUAUCUUUCUGGGUCUGUACUUCUCUUACAUCACAUGGCUGAAAGAUGAAUUUUAAUGGGGCCUGCAAAGAGAAACUUCUUGUUCAAAUAAGAUAAGUUCGUUGUGUACUUGUGCUUUCUACCAGAUAUUGGAUUUCACAGAUCAUUCUGGACAGACAGCUUGUCUAAACUUGCUGGAAGGUUGAUGUAUCUUGAGCCUCGCGAAAAGAGAGUAUGAAAACCCAUUUUUAUACAAAAAAGCUGGAAACUAGACGUUGAAUUAUGUGAUGCCAUCACAAAUGAUGAUAUAAGUGUCACUGAAUGUUACAAAAGGAAAGGUCAUGAAGUAAUUGUAAAGCAGUCAUGGUAUUCUAAUAUCUGUAUGUUCUUAGAAGUAUCCUGGAGAGAAACUAAAUUAUUAUUCUCCUUCUACAUUCUUUUUUGUUGAUUCAUGCACAAAGCAAAAAUAUCCUCCUCUUGCAGGUUUUGUCUAGAUGGAACGUUACAACGGAGCCUGUUAUCUCUGCUGUUCUUCUGAUAUAGCAAAUGAAUGUUGAAAAGGUUCUCAAUUGUUGCUAUGCCAGAUGUCCAUGACUGGAGUAAAGUAGAUGAACUUGAGAAAGACUCCAUUCUCAAGAUGAUGCUUCAAUCUCAUCACCAAGGAGACAAAAUGGGGCUGAGUAAUGGCACCUAGCAAGAUCUGAAUUGGAUUCUGAUGAAAAUGACUCGAGUUGUCCUAAAUGCCUAGUCCUUUCUGUGGAUGAGCAUGUCACAAGCAUUCCCACUGCAAUGUUGGGUUUGGAGUAUGGAAAAUCAGAAUUUAGGUUCUGACUUUUCAUAAUAAAACUAGAUGAGAGAGGUCAUCCUAGUAACAAUACCGAGAGAAUGGCUAUAACGUUGUGUCAUGACUCGUGUUCUGAUAAAUGGUAUUGAUUAUAUAUUUGUUACCUUGUA
Molecule: long non-coding RNA, 1081 nt
Organism: Macadamia integrifolia
Lineage: Eukaryota; Viridiplantae; Streptophyta; Magnoliopsida; Proteales; Proteaceae
Exons: 4
Source: RefSeq, a predicted model, not a curated record